RNAcentral lists this long non-coding RNA (1228 nucleotides) under Callithrix jacchus (white-tufted-ear marmoset). The record is from RNAcentral. Lineage: Eukaryota; Metazoa; Chordata; Mammalia; Primates; Cebidae.
CUGUUUCCCCAUAUCGAUUUUGGAUUAAUUUUUUUGCUCUACAAGGUGGACCCAUCUUCUUUCUAUGUCCCAGGUUCAUUAUCAAAACGCUCAGUUUUCUUAAGAAAAAGAAUGAUGAGGAAAAAUACUAAUUAUUAUAUACUAGUGGAUGAUUACUCUCACAUUUAAUUAUAAUGUGGGAUUGUUUUGUCAUUUGCACAGGUCAAUGUGAUUUAUUUAAUUUAAGACAAUGUGAUCAAAAGUUGAUUUAAAAAUCGUUAUAGCUGGCCAGGCAUGGUGGCUCAUUCCUGUAAUCCCAGCACUUUGGGAGGCCCAGGCAGGCAGAUCACCUGAGGUCAGGAGUUUGAGACCAGCCUGGCCAACAUAGUCAAACCCUGCCUUUACUAAAAAUACAAAAAUUAGUGCUCGCUUCGGCAGCUCAUAUACUAAAAUUGGAAAGAUACAGAGAUUACCAUGGCCCCUGAGCAAGGAUGACAUAAAAAUUUUUGAAGCAUUCCAUAUUGUAAUUAAAAUUUUUUUAUAAAAAAAGAAAAAAAAUACAAAAAUUAGCCUGGUGUGGUGGCACAUGCUUGUAAUCCCAGCUAUUCCAAAGGCUGAGGCAGGAGAAUCGCUUGAACCUGGGGGGCAGAGGUUGCAGUGAGCCAAGAUCACACCAUUGCACUCCACAUUCCAGCCUGGGCAACAGAGCAGACCGUGUCUCUAAAAAGAAAAAAGGGCUGGGUGUGGUGGCUCACGUCUAUGACCUCAGCACUUUGAGAAGCCAGCGUGGGAGGACUGCUUGAGCCCAGGAGUUUGAGAUCAGCCUGGGCAACAGAGUGAGACCCCAUCUCUACAAAAAAUUAAAAAUCAGCCAUGCGUGAUGGCACACUCCUGGAAUCCUAGCUACCUGGGAGACUGAAGUAGGAAGAUGACUUGAGCCCAGGAGGUUGAGGCUGUAUAAUCACACGACUGCUCCAGCCUGAGCAGCAGAGCAAGACCCUGUCUCCGAGGAAAAAAGUGGUAAUAAAAAGAAAAAAGAAAAUAAAAACAAAUGCCAGACAUUUGGAAAGAAUGCUGAACUGUCUAAGUGGCUAAUUGCCCAACAGUAGAUUCUCAGACUUUCAGGGCUCGUAAAAUGUUCCUGAUCUGCCCAACUAAAUUUUAGCUGGUUUAAUACUUAGGUCCUUUUUAUGUAGUUUGGUACCAACAUGUAACUAGGCUACAAAUGGAGGUCUAAUCAAUACAGACC